RNAcentral lists this ribosomal RNA (626 nucleotides) under Clostridium botulinum. Its description in RNAcentral is "partial 23S ribosomal RNA". It matches the Rfam family "Bacterial large subunit ribosomal RNA", at positions 788 to 1415 of the family's 2925-position model. Lineage: Bacteria; Bacillati; Bacillota; Clostridia; Eubacteriales; Clostridiaceae. The record is from RNAcentral.
GUUGAAAAACCAUGGGAUGAGCUGUGGAUAGCGGAGAAAUUCCAAUCGAACUCGGAGAUAGCUGGUUCUCCUCGAAAUAGCUUUAGGGCUAGCGUCGUGUAAUUGAGUAAUGGAGGUAGAGCACUGAAUGGGCUAGGGGCUAUAGUAGUUACCGAACCCUAUCAAACUCCGAAUGCCAUAUACUUGUAUCACGGCAGUCAGACUGCGAAUGAUAAGAUCCGUAGUCAAAAGGGAAACAGCCCAGACCAUCAGCUAAGGUCCCAAAGUGUAAGUUAAGUGGAAAAGGAUGUGGGAUUUCUAAGACAACUAGGAUGUUGGCUUAGAAGCAGCCACUCAUUUAAAGAGUGCGUAAUAGCUCACUAGUCAAGAGAUCCUGCGCCGAAGAUGUCCGGGGCUCAAACUUACCACCGAAGCUAUGGGUGUACACUAUGUGUACGCGGUAGAGGAGCUUUCUGUAUGGGUUGAAGUCGUACCGUAAGGAGCGGUGGACUGUACAGAAGUGAGAAUGCUGGCAUAAGUAGCGAGAAAUAAGUGAGAAUCUUAUUGGCCGAAAACCUAAGGUUUCCUGAGGAAGGUUCGUCCGCUCAGGGUUAGUCGGGACCUAAGCCGAGGCCGAAAGGCGUAGG